AGAGUUUGAUCCUGGCUCAGGACGAACGCUGGCGGCGUGCUUAACACAUGCAAGUCGAACGGAGGUUACGAAGGAAGUUUUCGGACUAAAUUGUAAUGCUUAGUGGCGGACGGGUGAGUAACGCGUGAGCAACCUGCCCUUCGGAGGGGGAUAGCGUCUGGAAACGGACGGUAAUACCGCAUAACGUAUUUUUUUCGCAUGGAAGAGAUACCAAAGCUGAGGCGCCGAAGGAUGGGCUCGCGUUGGAUUAGAUAGUUGGUGGGGUAACGGCCUACCAAGUCGACGAUUCAUAGCCGGACUGAGAGGUUGGACGGCCACAUUGGGACUGAGACACGGCCCAGACUCCUACGGGAGGCAGCAGUGGGGAAUAUUGCACAAUGGGGGGAACCCUGAUGCAGCAACGCCGCGUGAAGGAAGACGGUUUUCGGAUUGUAAACUUCUGUUCUUAGUGAAGAAGGAAAUGACGGUAGCUAAGGAGCAAGCCACGGCUAACUACGUGCCAGCAGCCGCGGUAAUACGUAGGUGGCAAGCGUUGUCCGGAAUUACUGGGUGUAAAGGGAGCGCAGGCGGGUGAUCAAGUCAGCUGUGAAAGGCGCAGGCUUAACCUGCGGACUGCAGUUGAAACUAAUCAUCUUGAGUGAAGUAGAGGUUGGCGGAAUUCCGAGUGUAGCGGUGAAAUGCGUAGAUAUUCGGAGGAACACCGGUGGCGAAGGCGGCCAACUGGGCUUUAACUGACGCUGAGGCUCGAAAGUGUGGGGAGCAAACAGGAUUAGAUACCCUGGUAGUCCACACCGUAAACG
RNAcentral lists this ribosomal RNA (800 nucleotides) under uncultured bacterium. RNAcentral describes it as "bacterial SSU rRNA". It matches the Rfam family "Bacterial small subunit ribosomal RNA", at positions 8 to 808 of the family's 1533-position model. The record is from RNAcentral.